RNAcentral lists this ribosomal RNA (209 nucleotides) under uncultured eukaryote. RNAcentral describes it as "partial 18S ribosomal RNA". It matches the Rfam family "Eukaryotic small subunit ribosomal RNA", at positions 604 to 819 of the family's 1831-position model. The record is from RNAcentral.
UUAAAGUUGUCGCAGUUAAAAAGCUCGUAGUUGAACCUUGGGCCUGGCUGGCCGGUCCGCCUCACCGCGUGCACUGGUCCGGCCGGGCCUUUCCUUCUGGGGAGCCGCAUGCCCUUCACUGGGUGUGUCGGGGAACCAGGACUUUUACUUUGAAAAAAUUAGAGUGUUCAAAGCAGGCCUAUGCUCGAAUACAUUAGCAUGGAAUAAUA